Molecule: long non-coding RNA, 678 nt
Filed under: Gossypium barbadense (sea-island cotton)
Lineage: Eukaryota; Viridiplantae; Streptophyta; Magnoliopsida; Malvales; Malvaceae
Description: long non-coding RNA (GBAR_LNC001040)
Source: RNAcentral
AACACUGUCGAUAACAAUCUUAGGUGGAGGUACAUUGAAUUUCUCUGCGUACUCUCGUUUAGCUUCAUCGAUAAUAGUUUCCACCAGCUUACGAUCCACCUCUCGGCACCUCAACAACACCGACGGUUCCCUCAGCCGAACCAGACUCUGCACCACCAAUGCCUUCACCAGGUUUUUAUAUCCCCUUUUGUCAGUGCCCAAACGCUGCAGCUCUUUCCUCGCGCUUUCUUUUAUGGAGUUCACCAACUCUUCCUGCCCUUGCAGCACUUUUAUCCUCGACGCAUUCAACUGCAUAGAGUACUCACUGCACGUAUCAAUUCAUUUCCACGUUUCAUCAUUCAUCUCAUGUGCACAAAAACUUUAAUUAAGUACACUCAUUCACUCACAUUUUCUUGCGUAUUUCCACCUGCUUUGCCUUGCGCUCGUACUCUUGUUUAAUCUUUCUCCUUUCAGCUUCUACGAUUUGCAGCUUUUCAAUGUUGAAUUCUUCUUCAGCAGAUACUGAAAUCUCAUUGGCUUUCUCCUCAGCUUCUUGGCGGAUGAAUCUCACCAUUUGCUGGAUUUGCUUCGAUACAUCCCCGUCGUUCAUUUUUGCUCCCUUUUCUUAGCAAACGAACAAAUUGAUUAAAUUGCCAAGGAUUUUUAUUUUAUCAACAAAUUAAUCAAAUUUCAAAUAUA